Long non-coding RNA from Marmota flaviventris (yellow-bellied marmot), 928 nucleotides. RefSeq lists it as uncharacterized. The record is from RefSeq and is a predicted model, not a curated record. NCBI's taxonomy places the organism in Eukaryota, Metazoa, Chordata, Mammalia, Rodentia, Sciuridae.
GCGAGGGCUGAGGAGGGUGGCUGCGGCCGCCGGUGAGCGGAGGUCCGGUGAGGGUGCGUUUUUCCGCCUGCUGCGCCUCACACCUCGGUGCUGGCGCCAGAGAGCAAGGCCAUGAAUCCAGCAGACAUUUUUCCAACUUCUACUUAUCCUCACUGCUGGUAGCCGAGGGAACUUGUCCCAGGACCAGUCCUUCCUUUCUAGCUAGCAUCUGUGAUGCCUCAAUAAACCCUUUGUUUCAGAGAUUUCUCAGUGCCCAUUUUGAUUUAGCAGUUGGAAAGUUCCAAAGCCCAAAUGCAGAAUAAGCAAAUCAUGGCCCAGCACACAGGAAUCUUAUGCAGAUUCCUAACUAGAAAUAAUAGAUUUUUAAAGACUAGAAAUGUAACUCUGGCCACCUCUUCGCAGGUCACCCUUUGACUUCCCCUCCCUUUCCCCAACACUCUAAAUUCUAAGGAGAAUAUGAACCUAAAUGAUGACGGUAUUAACAGCUAAAGCAUCUUUCUUUAGACUAACAGAACCAAGAACAUCUUGUGACCUUCAGAUAACAUCAGAAUGUGUAAUUUCUUAUUCUUUAAUUCUGUGCAUCAGCUUACAAAAAGCAUGUAAAGUUACAGGAACUAAUCUCUGGAGAUCAAGGUUGCUUGCUGUAUUGGGGCAGGGAAGACAUGCCUCAAAUGACCAAGACCCCACCCAGCACAUAGGCUUCCUAACCAUUACCGCCUGCACCUCCUUUCCUUCCAUAUUAAAGUCCUUCUGUUACCCAACCCUGGUCUUGUACUGCUUGGGUGGACUACUGAAUUUCUACCCCAUCUUUGAGGACAAUAUGCCUGAAGACCGAGUCCCUCUUCAUGGGCUGGUUGCAUCUAAGAUGACUGCCAGAGUGACCACUAAACAAUCUCUAACUUCAUUAUAAUAAAAAACGUGAACAUUC